Molecule: ribosomal RNA, 279 nt
Filed under: uncultured Gaiellales bacterium
Lineage: Bacteria; Bacillati; Actinomycetota; Thermoleophilia; Gaiellales
Description: partial 16S ribosomal RNA
Rfam family: Bacterial small subunit ribosomal RNA
Source: RNAcentral
GUAUAAGAGACAGCAGCAGCCGCGGUAAUACGUAGGGGGCUAGCGUUGUCCGGAUUUAUUGGGCGUAAAGAGCGUGUAGGCGGCCAGGUAGGUCUGGUGUGAAAACUCGAGGCUUAACCUCGAGAUGUCAUCGGAAACCAUCUGGCUAGAGUCCGGAAGAGGAGAGUGGAAUUCCUGGUGUAGCGGUGAAAUGCGCAGAUAUCAGGAAGAACACCAAUGGCGAAAGCAGCUCUCUGGGACGGUACUGACGCUGAGACGCGAAAGCGUGGGGAGCGAACA